GCGAUUUCAUCCUUAGGAUGUGAGCACACACGAGUUUACCAUCUUGAUGUUCCAUUGCCAAUAGGGAUUCGGUGAUCUUGAACUUUUCAAAUCUUCGAUAAUCUGGGUUAGGGAGAACAACGGGAGGAAGAGGAGGAAGUGAAAUCAAGCUAGUCCACAUUGAUCUCUCACUUUGAAUCAAGCUUUCACUUUCAUUAGGAACACUUUUUCCUUGGGAUUCGGGAAUACCACGGUUAGAGUCAGACAUCUACAAAACGGGAGAAAAUUCAAGUUAAGUUGAUUGAGUCCUUAAUAAAACACCCAAAUGAGUUAUUAAGGCUAGGAUCCAACACAAUAUUCUACAACCUAGAAAAGGGAUGCCGUAAUCUAGUUGCAAAAUAUUUGAAGGUAGGUAAAUGACGAUUUACCAAUUUCCACCAUGAAAAACGAAAAGGAAGAUUAAGUUUUAAAUGAAUUGAAACUCCUAGAUCUUUUGAGAUUCAUUGAACUUUUCAAUGGCAUGUUUAAUCUCGAUUAUGCCCUACUAUUUGUGACUGGGAUGCCGAGGAUCCCAAACAAGGUGUGAAUAACCAUACGAAUCACGUGGUGCGCCUAAUGCUAUUAUCACCUAAUCAAUGUGCCGGUUAGCCACACACGCUCCAUUGAUCUAUGAUAGGCAUCGAGCCACCCUUCGCCACCAAUGUCAUCCCCAAAUUAGUGUGCCGGUUAACCACACACGCUCCACUAACGUUUGACAAGGGUACGAAGUGUAAUUCCAUGGGUUAGCAUACAAUUUCACAUUUUUCCUAAAGUAACUAUGAUUUGGGAAUUUGAAAAAGCAUUUAGUUACUUUGUACUUCAUUAUACUUAUAAUGGAAGGUUUCUGUCCUAUCCUACCCGUUCGGCUAACGACCCUCCACUAGUCAAGAGUGCGGUGGGUAAGAGUGGAUACCCAUUCAAUCGCCAUUUUAUAGGCAAUUUCCUUAAACACCCCUUAUAGACCAGCUUCGUGAAUGAGGCCUACUAACGGUAAGACUGACUGUUUACUCAUACAUAUAUAUAAUAUUAGACUUUUAAUGUUAUAUAUAGUAUAGGGUGUAUUUUACACUUUUAAAAUACUAGGUGGUUUAACUUAGUAAAUUAUACUUUUAAUUUAAUUAAAUGUAAACCAAAACUUUAUGGGUUUAUUAAAUCACUUUUAAUUAUACACUUUAAUUAAUUAAUAAAACCAUAAGGGUGUGAUUUGAACUUUUCAAAUUACUAGGGUUUUAGAAUUUAACAUUUCAAAAUUAAACUUUUAAUCAAAUUUUAAAUUCCAAAACUUGAGGGCAAGUUUUGAAACAUUUCAAAACAUAAGGGAUCAAAUAACAAAUAACAUAAAUUAAACAAUUAAUUUGGUGAUUAUCUAUAUUUGACCUAAUCUCAUUUUAUUCAUAAGAUAAUUACCAAAAAAUUUAAAUAAUCCAUAUUUAUCAUAUAAAGAAACUAUUAUUUAAAAGAUUUGAAAUUAUCUUUUGUUUUAUGAAGGAUAAUCACCCAAAUAUAAUAAAAAUCGGAUUUUAUCAUCAAAAUACGUUUUAGGUAUUAAUCCUUCAGCAAAACAGCAAUAAAACCCGAUAUUCCCUCUGUCUGACCCCUGGACUCGCCGAGUUCAUCCACUGACUCGCCGAGUCAGGUCGGGCAGAGGCCAAAAAUCGAUUUUUCAGCAAAUAAAGCAGUUAAGCAUCACAUACAACUGAAACCAAUCAAGGCUCUGAUACCACUGAUGGGUUUUAGGCAUAAGAACAAUCCUAUGUGCUCAUACAAACCCUAAUGCUUGGAUCUAGGUUUCUCUAUUGUACAUGCUUUGAAUCCAAGACUAAUAAACUUAGAUCUAACAUAUUAUAAACUGAAUUAGGGUUUAUAGAAUUACCUUUGAUUGUUAUAUAGCAAUAACAAUCAAUUCCUUGCUUGGAUUGGCUUCAAAAGCUUAGUGCCUCAAAUGCUGCACCUCUAAUGGAGUCACAAACACCUUAUGCAACUUGGAUGAAGAGGAGAAGAAAGGAGGCUGCCCAAAAACGACUAGAAACCCUAGAGAAUCAGUUGUCCACGUUUUUGGAGCCUAAAGGGUCCUUUAUAUAUUUGUGUGGGCUGCUAGGGUUUCAGUCAAAACCCUAAUGGAUAGCUUAAACUCUAAGCAGCCCAUGGAACCUUCUGGAUAAGGCUAUGGACGAAAAUAUGAUGGGCUUCCAUCAUAAUUUCGUUCACCUCUUGUUGCUUUAGCAUUCCUUAGCCCAAUAACUCAAUUAUCCAAUAAUUGCAGUCCAGUCCCCUAAAUUUAAUUAAUCUCUUUUAGCCACAAAAUUAAUUAUCAAUUAAUUCUUGACUAAUACUAAUUAAACAAUAUGAUUUCUCCUUUAAUAUAUUAUUCUCAUAAUAUAUUAAUAAAUCAUAUUUAAACCUUUCUCUCCUUAAAUCAUCCUACAUAUUGCUAUGCUGAAGGCAACCCAAAAGGACCAUGCUCAUAAUCGGGUCAAGUACAAACCAAAAUAGUUAUGGACUUAGACACCAAUCCAACAG
This 2538-nucleotide long non-coding RNA is filed under the name Lactuca sativa (garden lettuce). Its description in RNAcentral is "long non-coding RNA (LSAT_LNC009444)". Lineage: Eukaryota; Viridiplantae; Streptophyta; Magnoliopsida; Asterales; Asteraceae. The record is from RNAcentral.